UAACUGGAAANUGGGGCCUGAAAGUGC
RNAcentral lists this non-coding RNA (27 nucleotides) under Mus musculus (house mouse). Lineage: Eukaryota; Metazoa; Chordata; Mammalia; Rodentia; Muridae. The record is from RNAcentral.